Molecule: ribosomal RNA, 243 nt
Filed under: Salmonella enterica subsp. enterica serovar Muenchen
Lineage: Bacteria; Pseudomonadati; Pseudomonadota; Gammaproteobacteria; Enterobacterales; Enterobacteriaceae
Also listed under: 17 other names
Description: partial 16S ribosomal RNA
Rfam family: Bacterial small subunit ribosomal RNA
Source: RNAcentral
AAAUUGAAGAGUUUGAUCAUGGCUCAGAUUGAACGCUGGCGGCAGGCCUAACACAUGCAAGUCGAACGGUAACAGGAAGCAGCUUGCUGCUUCGCUGACGAGUGGCGGACGGGUGAGUAAUGUCUGGGAAACUGCCUGAUGGAGGGGGAUAACUACUGGAAACGGUGGCUAAUACCGCAUAACGUCGCAAGACCAAAGAGGGGGACCUUCGGGCCUCUUGCCAUCAGAUGUGCCCAGAUGGGA